This 338-nucleotide unclassified non-coding RNA is filed under the name Trechispora sp. Its description in RNAcentral is "partial contains 5.8S ribosomal RNA, internal transcribed spacer 2, and large subunit ribosomal RNA". The stretch from base 1 to 71 matches the Rfam family "5.8S ribosomal RNA", at positions 84 to 154 of the family's 154-position model. The record is from RNAcentral. Lineage: Eukaryota; Fungi; Basidiomycota; Agaricomycetes; Trechisporales; Hydnodontaceae.
GUGAGUCAUCGAAUCUUUGAACGCACCUUGCGCUCCUUGGUAUUCCGAGGAGCAUGCCUGUUUGAGUGUCUUGAAGUCAUCAACCCCAUCCGUUUCGUGCGGGUGGUCCGGUUGGAUCUGGGGUGAAUGCUGCCGCGAGGCUGCUCCCCUGAAAUGUGUCGGUUGGACCAGCGGGUCAAACUCGACGGGCGUUGUACCAUCCUCGCUCGACCCCGAGACUCCCCUCGCGUCCUCCCAAGACCGGCCUGCAGAGUGGCCGUUCAAAGCCAAACUUUGAAAUCUGACCUCAAAUCAGGUAGGACUACCCGCUGAACUUAAGCAUAUCAAUAAGCGGAGGA